RNAcentral lists this long non-coding RNA (248 nucleotides) under Mytilus galloprovincialis (Mediterranean mussel). Lineage: Eukaryota; Metazoa; Mollusca; Bivalvia; Mytilida; Mytilidae. The record is from RNAcentral.
AAAAUGAAAACAAAUGAAGAUCUUGACCUUUUAGUAUGUUUUACAGCUUCCUAAAUAUUUUAGAGGCGGAUACAUUUAAAAAAAAAAAGGUGGAGCUUUAGCCAUGGAAUAACAUGAAAAUGAAUAUGUUAUACCAUGGCUGAAGCUCCGCCUUUUUUCCUUUGGAUUCUAGUCGAGUUGCAUAUUUAAUUAGCAAAGUAUGGUACAACAUAAAUUUGCAUAUAAUAUACCAUGGUUUUCCCUCACCA